Molecule: long non-coding RNA, 483 nt
Filed under: Phasianus colchicus (ring-necked pheasant)
Lineage: Eukaryota; Metazoa; Chordata; Aves; Galliformes; Phasianidae
Description: lncRNA (ENSPCLG00000003094.1)
Source: RNAcentral
GUGUGAUGCCAAGGAGGCGUACAGCCUUGCUCAUCACUGCACCUUCCCCCAGUGGUACUUGAAAGUUAUGAUGGACCACAGAGCUCCUUAGAAUAGAAUGUUCAGAGGUUCUACUUUUCGUGUUUUCAUCAUAAUCAAGGCUAGCAAAUCUUUCUCCAUUUCUGAUGCUCAUGGAAACUGUAUUAUCUACAGAAAGCUCUCCUAAGUAUUUCCUUCCUUCAUUGGAUGAUGACUGAUUUCAAGAGUCUGAAAUGUGAAAAUGCUUAAAUUUCCGACCACUGAAUUCAGUAAGAAUUAAGUACCUAAACAUGUUUGGAGGCCUGGAUUCUCAGAACAGUAUAUUUUUUUUAAUUAAAAAUUCCAGGUAGGUAUUAAUAAUCAGGUUCUAGGCACAACCAAUAUGAAAUCUAUGGUUAAACAUGUACCAACGUCCACUCAAUUGAGCGGCUGUAGAAGGAGCAGAUAUCUUUGCACUGUUCCAAG